RNAcentral lists this ribosomal RNA (1475 nucleotides) under metagenome. RNAcentral's name for it is "bacterial SSU rRNA". It matches the Rfam family "Bacterial small subunit ribosomal RNA". The record is from RNAcentral.
CGAACGGUAACCUGUGGUUUCAAUUCUUCGGAAGAGAUCUGCAGGCUAGAGUGGCGAACGGGUGAGUAACGCGUGGGCAAUUUGCCCUUAAGUCGGGGAUAGCCCUUCGAAAGGAGGGGUAAUACCGGAUGUGGUCGUCCUGCGCAUGUAGGACUAUCCAAAGGUGGGGAUCUUCGGACCUGCCGCUUGAGGAUGAGCCCGCGUACCAUCAGCUUGUUGGUAGGGUAACGGCCUACCAAGGCAACGACGGUUAGCUGGUCUGAGAGGAUGGUCAGCCACACUGGGACUGAGACACUGCCCAGACUCCUACGGGAGGCUGCAGUCGAGAAUCAUUCGCAAUGCGCGAAAGCGUGACGAUGCGACGCCGCGUGGAGGAUGAAGGCCUUCGGGUUGUAAACUCCUGUCGUGAGGGAACAAUGGCCCCGGUGUUAAUAGCGCCGGGGUGUGAUGGUACCUCAAGAGGAAGCCACGGCUAACUCUGUGCCAGCAGCCGCGGUAAUACAGAGGUGGCGAGCGUUGUUCGGAUUUACUGGGCGUAAAGGGUGCGUAGGCGGUUUCGUGUGUCGAGUGUGAAAUCUCACCGUUCAUCGGUGAAACUGCAUUCGAAACUACGGGACUAGAGUACAGGAGAGGAGAGCGGAAUUCUCGGUGUAGCGGUGAAAUGCGUAGAUAUCGAGAAGAACGCCGGUGGCGAAAGCGGCUCUCUGGACUGAUACUGACGCUGAGGCACGAAAGCUUGGGGAGCAAACGGGAUUAGAUACCCCGGUAGUCCACGCCCUAAACGAUGAACACUAGUCGUCGCUCUGCUAGUCAGGGCGGUGAUGCACUUAACAGAUUAAGUGUUCCGCCUGGGGAGUACGGUCGCAAGAUUAAAACUCAAAGGAAUAGACGGGGACCCGCACAAGUGGUGGAGCAUGUGGUUUAAUUCGAAAAUACGCGAAGAACCUUACCUAGCCUUGACAUUGAUAGAAUACCCUAGAGAUAGAGUAGUGCCCUUCGGGGAACUUGAAAACAGGUGCUGCACGGCUGUCGUCAGCUCGUGUCGUGAGAUGUUGGGUUAAGUCCCGCAACGAGCGCAACCCUCGUCCUUAGUUGCCAGCAGUUCGGCUGGGCACUCUAAGGAGACUGCCUUCGUAAGGAGGAGGAAGGUGAGGACGACGUCAAGUCAUCAUGGCCCUUAUGGCUAGGGCUACACACGUGCUACAAUGGGGCGUACAGAGAGUUGCAAUACCGCGAGGUGGAGCCAAUCUCAUAAAGCGUCUCUCAGUUCGGAUUGGAGUCUGCAACUCGACUUCAUGAAGCUGGAAUCACUAGUAAUCGUAGAUCAGCAAUGCUACGGUGAGUACGUUCCCGGGUCUUGUACUCACCGCCCGUCACACCAUGGGAGUUGAUUUCACCCGAAAUUGGGAAGCUAACCUUCGGGAGGCUACCACUUACGGUGGAAUUAGCGACUGGGGUGAAGUCGAAACAAGGUA